RNAcentral lists this transfer RNA (69 nucleotides) under Plectropomus laevis (blacksaddled coralgrouper). RNAcentral's name for it is "tRNA-Ala". It matches the Rfam family "tRNA". From Rfam's summary of the family: Transfer RNA (tRNA) molecules are approximately 80 nucleotides in length. Their secondary structure includes four short double-helical elements and three loops (D, anti-codon, and T loops). The record is from RNAcentral. RNAcentral also lists the same sequence under 3 other names. Lineage: Eukaryota; Metazoa; Chordata; Actinopteri; Perciformes; Serranidae.
AAGGCUUUAUCUUAAUUAAAGUACCUGUUUUGCAUACAGGAGAUGCGGGUUAGUGUCCCGCAAGUCUUA